UUGAAGUAACUCAAAUUUUAGUACAUAGUCAUAAAUUUCUAAAUUCAUAAAUGUAUUAACGUAAACAAUGUCGUUUUUCAAAAGAAUUCGCCGCAAGAAAUCUCCUCCAUAUACGCCAUAUUACGAAAGUCAAAAACGGGAGGAGAGUCGACCUGUAAGAAAACCGGACAAUAAAAGUGCAGACUGUACACAUUGUUUAACAACUGAACCAUGUACAGGAAAGGAUAUUUGCCCCAUUUGUCAAAUUUAUUUGAUCCAUCAUUCAUCCACAAGCAAGGUACAAACAGAUGAGGCUUCAUAUUCAAACAUACUAUCUGCAAUAAGUGACAGCCCCUUAAAUGAAAAGAAGUCAUCGGAACGCUCUGUGGAACAACUGGAGAAAUUAAAGCACAUGAAAGAAACUUUGAAGAAGGAUUUACCCACGUUUAUGCGAUUAAGCAAAAAGAUUCAAAACAUAAAAACAUUUUAUCCUAAUAUUUACGGAAUGUCUGAUAAUAUAAUUGAAGUGUGGGGUAGAGACGAGAAGGCAUUAAACAUGAAGAAAGAACUGUUAAACUACGAUAAAGAAGACACUCAAUGCAUUUGGAUUUGACCAACUAAUGAAGAAUCUUUGCUCAACGGUUAAUGAUAUAUAAUUUUGUAGGCUCAAAUUAGCUAAAUAUAGAUAUAUUUACAUGGGUUUGAAAAAGUAAAAAAUAUUAAAAAUUAUCAAUUGUCCUAU
This is an RNA transcript of Aethina tumida (small hive beetle), 721 nucleotides long. RefSeq lists it as uncharacterized. The record is from RefSeq and is a predicted model, not a curated record. NCBI's taxonomy places the organism in Eukaryota, Metazoa, Arthropoda, Insecta, Coleoptera, Nitidulidae. The transcript is spliced from 3 exons.